RNAcentral lists this ribosomal RNA (440 nucleotides) under uncultured bacterium. Its description in RNAcentral is "partial 16S ribosomal RNA". It matches the Rfam family "Bacterial small subunit ribosomal RNA", at positions 338 to 795 of the family's 1533-position model. The record is from RNAcentral.
CCUACGGGAGGCAGCAGUGGGGAAUAUUGCACAAUGGGGGAAACCCUGAUGCAGCGACGCCGCGUGAGUGAAGAAGUAUUUCGGUAUGUAAAGCUCUGUCAGCAGGGAAGAAAAUGACGGUACCUGACUAAGAAGCCACGGCUAACUACGUGCCAGCAGCCGCGGUAAUACGUAGGGGGCAAGCGUUAUCCGGAUUUACUGGGUGUAAAGGGAGCGUAGACGGUUGGGCAAGUCUGGGGUGAAAGGCCGGGGCUCAACCCCGGGACUGCUUUGGAAACUGCUAGGCUGGAGUGCAGGAGAGGUAAGUGGAAUUCCUAGUGUAGCGGUGAAAUGCGUAGAUAUUAGGAGGAACACCAGUGGCGAAGGCGGCUUACUGGACUGUAACUGACGUUGAGGCUCGAAAGCGUGGGGAGCAAACAGGAUUAGAUACCCGUGUAGUC